Molecule: transfer RNA, 77 nt
Rfam family: tRNA
About the family: Transfer RNA (tRNA) molecules are approximately 80 nucleotides in length. Their secondary structure includes four short double-helical elements and three loops (D, anti-codon, and T loops). Further hydrogen bonds mediate the characteristic L-shaped molecular structure. tRNAs have two regions of fundamental functional importance: the anti-codon, which is responsible for specific mRNA codon recognition, and the 3' end, to which the tRNAs corresponding amino acid is attached (by aminoacyl-tRNA synthetases). tRNAs cope with the degeneracy of the genetic code in two manners: having more than one tRNA (with a specific anti-codon) for a particular amino acid; and 'wobble' base-pairing, i.e. permitting non-standard base-pairing at the 3rd anti-codon position.
GCGUCCGUGGCCCAACCGGCAGAGGCGCCGGCUUGAGGAGCCGGAGGCUGCGGGUUCGAAUCCCGCCGGGCGCACGA